GGGCGGUUAGCUCAGUUGGUUAGAGCGCUGGUCUCACAUACCAGAGGUCGUAGGUUCGAAUCCUAUACUGCCCACCA
Molecule: transfer RNA, 77 nt
Filed under: Anaerolinea sp.
Lineage: Bacteria; Bacillati; Chloroflexota; Anaerolineae; Anaerolineales; Anaerolineaceae
Also listed under: 6 other names
Description: tRNA-Val
Rfam family: tRNA
About the family: Transfer RNA (tRNA) molecules are approximately 80 nucleotides in length. Their secondary structure includes four short double-helical elements and three loops (D, anti-codon, and T loops).
Source: RNAcentral